GAUGAAGAACGUAGUGAAAUGCGAUAAGUAAUGUGAAUUGCAGAAUUCAGUGAAUCAUCGAAUCCUUGAACGCACAUUGCGCCCAUUAGUAUUCUAGUGGGCAUGCCUGUUCGAGCGUCAUUAAGUCCACUUAAGCCCUGCUUAGUGUUGGGAGACUGCUCCAGCGGUGCUACCCUGUAGCUACCCUGCAGCUCCUCAAAGACAGCGGCGGAGUUGUGGUAUCCUCUGAGCUUAGUAACUUGUUCUAGCUUUCGAGUACACCACUUCCCCUGCCGUAAAACCCUUAAUUUUUAAUGGUUGACCUCGGAUCAGGUAGGAAUACCCGCUGAACUUAAGCAUAUCAAUAAGCGGAGGA
This 355-nucleotide unclassified non-coding RNA is filed under the name soil metagenome. RNAcentral's name for it is "partial contains 5.8S ribosomal RNA, internal transcribed spacer 2, and large subunit ribosomal RNA". The stretch from base 1 to 120 matches the Rfam family "5.8S ribosomal RNA", at positions 35 to 154 of the family's 154-position model. The record is from RNAcentral.